This 72-nucleotide transfer RNA is filed under the name Camelus ferus (Wild Bactrian camel). It matches the Rfam family "tRNA". From Rfam's summary of the family: Transfer RNA (tRNA) molecules are approximately 80 nucleotides in length. Lineage: Eukaryota; Metazoa; Chordata; Mammalia; Artiodactyla; Camelidae. The record is from Rfam by way of RNAcentral.
GAGGGUAUAGCUCAGUGGUAGAGCACAUGCUUAGCAUGCACAAGGUCCUGGGUUCAAUCCCCAGUACCUCCC